CAGUCGCCACGGGAAUACGAAGGGUGCAAGCGUUACUCGGAAUUACUGGGCGUAAAGCGUGCGUAGGUGGUGGUUUAAGUCCGUUGUGAAAGCCCUGGGCUCAACCUGGGAAUUGCAGUGGAUACUGGAUCACUAGAGUGUGGUAGAGGAUAGUGGAAUUUCCGGUGUAGCAGUGAAAUGCGUAGAGAUCGGAAGGAACAUCUGUGGCGAAGGCGGCCAUCUGGGACAACACUGACGCUGAGGCACGAAAGCGUGGGGAGCAAACAGGAUUAGAUACCCGCGUAGUCCCUGUCUCUUAUAC
Molecule: ribosomal RNA, 301 nt
Filed under: uncultured bacterium
Lineage: Bacteria
Description: partial 16S ribosomal RNA
Rfam family: Bacterial small subunit ribosomal RNA
Source: RNAcentral